Molecule: long non-coding RNA, 359 nt
Filed under: Phoenix dactylifera (date palm)
Lineage: Eukaryota; Viridiplantae; Streptophyta; Magnoliopsida; Arecales; Arecaceae
Description: long non-coding RNA (PDAC_LNC015038)
Source: RNAcentral
UUUCAUAUUAUCUUAAUUAGUAUUAUAGCUAAUCUUUAUUAAUAAAAUUGAUUAAUUAAUGUUUUAUUGUGUCUGGGUGCAUGUAAUUCAAAAGACCCAAUAACGUUGGAUUUGAGCUCAAUGCCUGGCAGCCCGUGCUCAACAAAUCCCUAGCGUCUCAUCUGAGUCUCACGUUGCCUGUCAUCCAUCAUGCAAUCCAUAUCACUGCGUCCAGCUGAUUCAGCCAGCAUUAGUGCCCGCGUCAUGAAGAUCCCAGCUCAUCCACAACGGCCAUCCACGUAUUCCAAGCGGCAUCCGAUCAUCUGCCCAAAUCUUCAACUUCUCAACAUCCCUCCACUUCCUUUACAGCAAAUGAAUUC